UGUGUCUGUAAGUGAAAGCGUGGGCUCAACCCCAUACACAUUAUAGAAACUGCAUGGCUAGAGGACGAGAGAGGUUAUUGGAAUUCCCAGUGUAGGAGUGAAAUCCGUAGAUAUUGGGAGGAACACCGAUGGCGUAGGCAGAUAACUGGCUCGUUCCUGACACUAAGGCACGAAAGCGUGGGUAGCAAACGGGAUUAGAUACCCCGGUAGUCCACGCCGUAAACUAUGGAAUGCUA
This 236-nucleotide ribosomal RNA is filed under the name uncultured Candidatus Saccharibacteria bacterium. RNAcentral describes it as "partial 16S ribosomal RNA". It matches the Rfam family "Bacterial small subunit ribosomal RNA", at positions 584 to 818 of the family's 1533-position model. Lineage: Bacteria; Candidatus Saccharimonadota. The record is from RNAcentral.